Anaerolineaceae bacterium 4572_78 is the source of this 82-nucleotide non-coding RNA. NCBI's taxonomy places the organism in Bacteria, Bacillati, Chloroflexota, Anaerolineae, Anaerolineales, Anaerolineaceae. The record is from Rfam.
GCCGAAGUGGCGGAAUAGGCAGACGCGCACGACUCAAACUCGUGUGGAGCAAUCCAUGUGGGUUCGAUUCCCACCUUCGGCA